RNAcentral lists this non-coding RNA (68 nucleotides) under Enterovibrio nigricans DSM 22720. Lineage: Bacteria; Pseudomonadati; Pseudomonadota; Gammaproteobacteria; Vibrionales; Vibrionaceae. The record is from RNAcentral.
GAACACACGACAUUGCUCACAUUGCUUCCAGUAUAUGUUUUUGCAUGAAACGCUAACGCAAGUUACGU